RNAcentral lists this microRNA (22 nucleotides) under Gallus gallus (chicken). RNAcentral describes it as "gga-miR-1643-5p". Lineage: Eukaryota; Metazoa; Chordata; Aves; Galliformes; Phasianidae. The record is from miRBase by way of RNAcentral.
UCUUAUCACGAGGAGCACUUUU